CAGGUCUGGUCAGCUGAUAUUUGAUCCAGGUCUGGUCAGUUGAUAUUUGAUCCAGGUCUGGUCAGUUGAUAUUUGAUCCAGGUCUGGUCAGUAGUCAGUUGAUAUUUGAUCCAGGUCUGGUCAGUGGUCAGUCAGUAAUGUAACAGUGAAGACAUAUCUAACAGUAAAAGUCUUGGACAGGAGGAGUGUGUUGUUUGGAAAAAGGACUUCCCAGAACGUCUGUGAUUGUCAUUUCUCUUCUUCGUUUUGUUCUACUUCCUGUAUCACACGGGAACAGCCAAUCAGUUCAUGCGUUGCAGUAACGAUGACGACUAGUGAAUAGUCUAGAAUCUUCCUCUGUGUUUGGGCUGGUGAUGACGUCGCCCAAGAGAGAUGCAGCCCAACCUGAAUACAUGUUAGUGUGAGACUGAGCGUGUUGCCACGACAACAACCUCCACUGUGUUCCUGUGGAUUUUACACAUCAAGGUAUUAAUGCGUAGACUUGAUGCAUGGCUUCAUGGUGAAUCCAUUACCUACAAAGCUAUGACAAAGUGUUUGUCUCACACACACACACACACACACACACACACACACUACCCUUUUGACACACAUCCCUCAGCAAAUUCAGGUCCUUGAGUUUUAGUGUUUUGUGAGUUUUAUUGCUGAAAAAAAAUGCAUCUGUUAUUGUGGUGUUAUUUCCACAUCACUGAUAUACAACCAGCCCAAAGAAUGUAACGGUGGAAGAGGUUAAAGGAUGUACCUUGUUUGACUGGUGUCCCAAAUGACAACCUAUUUCCUAUAUAGUGCACUACGUUUUGUCCAGAGCUGGUCUAAAGUAGUGCACUAUGUGUAUGAAACAGGGUGGGACGGCGCCAUUCUGCUGUAGAAGAGAAACAGGCUUGUGUGAUGAAGUGGUUCAAUCAUGUUCCAUUCAAUAGUAUGAGAAUCGAGUUCUGAAAUUCUAUGUUCUGAUUCUAUGAUUCCGUUGUUCCGAUGUUGCUGUAACAAGCAGCUCUGUUUGGACUAUUCUGAAUGUUGGACCUGAACAGUGUUUCUUUACCAUUGACAGACUGAAACCCAACUGUUAUUUCACCAAUACACACCGCGGUGGUUUCUAGAACUAACUGUUAUUUCACCAAUACACACUGUGGUGGUUUCUAGAACUAACUGUUAUUUCACCAAUACACACCGCGGUGGUUUCUAGAACUAACUGUUAUUUCACCAAUACACACCGCGGUGGUUUCUAGAACUAACUGUUAUUUCACCAAUACACACUGUGGUGGUUUCUAGAACUAACUGUUAUUUCACCAAUACACACCGCGGUGGUUUCUAGAACUAACUGUUAUUUCACCAAUACACACCGCGGUGGUUUCUAGAACUAACUGUUAUUUCACCAAUACACACCGCGGUGGUUUCUAGAACUAACUGUUAUUUCACCAAUACACACCGUGGUGGUUUCUAGAACUAACUGUUAUUUCACCAAUACACACUGUGGUGGUUUCUAGAACUAACUGUUAUUUCACCAAUACACACCGCGGUGGUUUCUAGAACUAACUGUUAUUUCACCAAUACACACUGUGGUGGUUUCUAGAACUAACUGUUAUUUCACCAAUACACACCGCGGUGGUUUCUAGAACUAACUGUUAUUUCACCAAUACACACCGUGGUGGUUUCUAGAACUAACUGUUAUUUCACCAAUACACACCAUGGUGGUUUCUAGAACUAACUGUUAUUUCACCAAUACACACCGUGGUGGUUUCUAGAAAUCCUGCUAGUUUACUGGUUAAAAACCAGCUCAGAAACCUCACUUACCAGGUAACACCAACUAGUUUACUGUACAUUUACCAGGUAAUCCCAACUAGUUUUAAUGUACAUUUACCAGGUAAUCCCAACUAGUUUACUGUACACUUACCAGGUAAUCCCAACUAGUUUUAAUGUACACUUACCAGGUAAUCCCAACUAGUUUUAAUGUACCCUUACCAGGUAAUCCCAACUAGUUUUAAUGUACCCUUACCAGGUAAUCCCAACUAGUUUUAAUGUACCCUUACCAGGUAAUCCCAACUAGUUUUAAUGUACAUUUACCAGGUAAUCCCAACUAGUUUUAACGUACAUUUACCAGGUAAUCCCAACUAGUUUUAAUGUACAUUUACCAGGUAAUCCCAACUAGUUUUAACGUACAUUUACCAGGUAAUCCCAACUAGUUUUAAUGUACAUUUACCAGGUAAUCCCAACUAGUUUUAACGUACAUUUACCAGGUAAUCCCAACUAGUUUUAACGUACAUUUACCAGGUAAUCCCAACUAGUUUUAAUGUACCCUUACCAGGUAAUCCCAACUAGUUUUAACGUACAUUUACCAGGUAAUCCCAACUAGUUUUAACGUACAUUUACCAGGUAAUCCCAACUAGUUUUAACGUACAUUUACCAGGUAAUCCCAACUAGUUUUAAUGUACCCUUACCAGGUAAUCCCAACUAGUUUUAAUGUACCCUUACCAGGUAAUCCCAACUAGUUUACUGUACAUUUACCAGGUAAUCCCAACUAGUUUUAAUGUACCCUUACCAGGUAAUCCCAACUAGUUUACUGUACAUUUACCAGGUAAUCCCAACUAGUUUUAAUGUACACUUACCAGGUAAUCCCAACUAGUUUUAAUGUACCCUUACCAGGUAAUCCCAACUAGUAUACUGUACAUUUACCAGGUAAUCCCAACUAGUAUACUGUACAUUUACCAGGUAACUCCAACUAGUGUUAAUGGGACUCUGCUGACGUGCAUUUCCUCUUCCUGUCACCAGCUGUGUCCUCCCUCUCUCCCAAAGCAACAUGGAAACACAGUGUUUCCUGUAUUCUCAACCCUUCUCCUCCCGCUCUCCCUCGGUCAAUAUGAAAAUAAAACCCGAUUUACAAAUGUA
Molecule: long non-coding RNA, 2883 nt
Organism: Oncorhynchus masou masou (cherry salmon)
Lineage: Eukaryota; Metazoa; Chordata; Actinopteri; Salmoniformes; Salmonidae
Exons: 4
Source: RefSeq, a predicted model, not a curated record